This 93-nucleotide microRNA precursor is filed under the name Paramuricea clavata. The record is from RNAcentral. Lineage: Eukaryota; Metazoa; Cnidaria; Anthozoa; Malacalcyonacea; Plexauridae.
AAACGAGACUUACCUGUAAGGUGAAGUUUGAUUUUGUCUCUGCGAAUCAAUGGUCAAAUUUCACUUUACAGGUAAGUCUCGUUUAAUAUUUCA